GGAGUUAGCCGGUGCUUCUUCUGUGAGUGAUGUCCUUCCUGCCGGUUAUUGACCCGCAGGCCUUCUUCCUCACUGAAAGUGCUUUACAACCCGAAGGCCUUCUUCACACACGCGGCAUGGCUGGAUCAGGGUUGCCCCCAUUGUCCAAUAUUCCCCACUGCUGCCUCCCGUAGGAGUCUGGGCCGUGUCUCAGUCCCAGUGUGGCUGAUCAUCCUCUCAGACCAGCUACGGAUCGUCGCCUUGGUGAGCCGUUACCUCACCAACCAGCUAAUCCGACAUAGGCUCAUCCGAUAGCGCGAGGCCCGAAGGUCCCCCGCUUUCCCCCGUAGGGCGUAUGCGGUAUUAGCCUGGGUUUCCCCAGGGUUAUCCCCCACUACCGGGCAGAUUCCUAUGCAUUACUCACCCGUCCGCCGCUCGCCACCAGGGAGCAAGCUACCCGUGCUGCCGCUCGACUUGCAUGUGUUAGGCCUGCCGCCAGCGUUCAAUCUGAGCCAGGAUCAAACUCUGA
RNAcentral lists this ribosomal RNA (508 nucleotides) under uncultured bacterium. Its description in RNAcentral is "partial 16S ribosomal RNA". The record is from RNAcentral.